GGAAUCUUGCGCAAUGGGCGAAAGCCUGACGCAGCAACACCGUGUGUGUGACGAAGGCCUUCGGGUCGUAAAGCACUGUUGUUGGGGACGAAGGGUUAGGGGUUAAUAGCCCCGAGCCUGACGGUACCCUUCGAGGAAGCCCCGGCUAACUCCGUGCCAGCAGCCGCGGUAAUACGUAGGGGGCGGGCGUUGUCCGGAAUUAUUGGGCGUAAAGAGCGUGUAGGCGGUUCGGUAAGUCUGUCGUGAAAACCCAGGGCUCAACCCUGGGCGUGCGAUGGAUACUGCCGGGCUAGAGGGUGGUAGAGGCGAGUGGAAUUCCCGGUGUAGCGGUGAAAUGCGCAGAUAUCGGGAGGAACACCAGUAGCGAAGGCGGCUCGCUGGGCCACACCUGACGCUGAGACGCGAAAGCGUGGGGAGCAAAC
This 422-nucleotide ribosomal RNA is filed under the name uncultured bacterium. Its description in RNAcentral is "bacterial SSU rRNA". It matches the Rfam family "Bacterial small subunit ribosomal RNA", at positions 358 to 773 of the family's 1533-position model. The record is from RNAcentral.